GACCUCCCAGGAUCGCAUCUGGAGAGUAACUAGUACUCUGCCAGCUUCGGAGACAGGAGGGAAAGCACGGCAGAGGUACCCAUUCCAUUCCCAGCUUGCUCAGUAACUGGUGAUUGGAAGACACUCUGCAACAGUG
This is a small nucleolar RNA of Manis pentadactyla (Chinese pangolin), 136 nucleotides long. NCBI's taxonomy places the organism in Eukaryota, Metazoa, Chordata, Mammalia, Pholidota, Manidae. The record is from RefSeq and is a predicted model, not a curated record.